Molecule: non-coding RNA, 2167 nt
Organism: Arachis ipaensis
Lineage: Eukaryota; Viridiplantae; Streptophyta; Magnoliopsida; Fabales; Fabaceae
Source: RefSeq, a predicted model, not a curated record
AGGUUUCUUACCCAUUAGAUUUGCAACAGUGUUCUUCCUUGCCAAAUUAGGGCUUUGAUUUUCUUUCAUCUCCUUAAUUCUCCAUCCUACCUAUUCAGCUUUUAGAUCAGGCCUCCAUUUCAACCAUUCUUUUGCUUCUACUUCUGAAAUUGCAAGGAGUUGAUUGCAGUUUCGUGUUUUAUAUUCUAAAACUCCAUAAAACAGCAAUAAACUUCAAACUUUUCAUACUUCAAUUGUAGCACGAAUAUCUUUUUAUUUAGGCUAAUCAGCUUCAUGAUUUAUUUGAGUGUUUUAGUAACAUCCACUUUUACUAUCACCUUCAUAAUUAUGUCUUCCUUAGACCUCAUUAUAAAGAAAUCAAUAUCUAAGACGUUUUCAAUUUUUUCCCCUAUCCUCCUUGCCACUUCUUUUAUUUUACAAAACUCCGGUAUAUCCCACAUUUGGAUCCACAUAGGGAUUCUCGAAUAGUCAUCUUUUGCAAUCUUCAUAUCUGAAUUCCAUUGCGUUAGAUGAAUUACAAACUAUUUUAUUAGUCAUGGAGAACCCCUCUCCACUCUGAGCAGAUAAGUUUCAUUGGCAAAGAAAAACUAAUAAUUGUCUCCAUGGCUUUUGAUUCUAAAUCCCUCUGGAUGGUUCUAGAUAGCAGUGAUAGCACUUUCAAUAGUUCCCAUACCAAACUUCCGAUCUGUCAUAAUUCUCCCCACCAGACUCUUGGAAUAAUCCUCAAUACCUGAUUUUACAUCUGCUUCCUCCAAAACAAUUACUUCCUCAUCAGAUUCAUUAACAUGAUCUGAUUAUCUCACCAUAACGCGGUAAAAGUGAUAUUGUAGCUUGAAAACAAACACACGCGCGCGCACAAAAUCCAAUUUUCAGUAGACUAUAUUUUUGAAUUGUCAGUAAAAUUGAAUUCAAACACUCUCACACUGACAAUAGCUCUCAAAAUUAUCAAAAUCCUAACCUACACUACAAAGUCAAAACCCAAAUGUGGAGUAGCUGAGAGCAAGGAUCUGGGGUUCAUUAUGGGGAAUGAAAGCUUGAAUCCAAACUACGUGUUUCCCCGAUGGAUGCCGCAAUUCGAUUGCAAAAGCUAUUGUUCUUGAUGAUGUCUGUCACAGAUUUAAGAUCAAAGGUUGCAUUUAUCUCGCUAUUCUACCUCUGGAAAAUAAGAAAGUUACUAGCAGGGUACCAAUUUUCUUAUUCUUACUAUUGUUGUUGUUGAUCCUUUGCUUUUACUUAAUUUCUCAUUUCUAAGCUUGUUUUAGUUCAUCAGUGGUAAUUUUUCCCCAUGCUAUUGUUGAAUAAAUCCAAAUCAUCUGAGCAAUUUGCCCAGUAGCUCCUAGAAAUUAGAAAAACUUGUUUCUUGCAUGAAUUGAACCUUUCUUGCAUGCUUAAUUCAUUGCCUGAAUUUGUUUAUAGCAUAGUUGAGGUUUGAUUAAUAGCACGAGUUUUAGCUUGCUUUAGGUCUUGUAUUUGAUUAUAGUUGGGGUUUCAUUUUAUUUUUUUUUCUUUUACUGAUUUGUAUUUUUCUUCCUUUUAAACAAAUGUUGUUUUGGCUUAUCGUUGCAUCGGACUCAAUUUUAGUUGCUGAAGUUUGAUUUUGGUUAAUGAAUUUAUUUCAUGCUGUCACAUUUAGUUUUAUGUAUAAUGUCUUAAGGGUUAUUUAAUUUCAUUCCUUUUGUUGUUCUAACAUCAUCUUGAGCGGCUCCCUUUGCUAUUCAAUCAGCAUUGGCAAAUUUCGUUGCAUCCAUAUUAUUAUUUUUUAGCAGUAGAUUCAAAUCUGAGACUAACCGUAUCACGUAGAUUUUGUAAAUUGCCAACGUAUAAAGUUUAAAAAUCAGUCUACUGAAGAUCUAAGUUGUUACAUGAGUCGAAAGAGACAAGGACUGCUAGAGAAUCUUCUACAUUUUCUUGAAUGAGAUUUGUCAAUAAGAAGUGAUACAAUGAAGUUAUCAUCUUUAUAGGGCAUUGUUCUGAUGAAUGAGCGGUUUCAAAAAUUGAUCACCGAUAAAGAGAAGCUUUCAAGUUUCAAGAUUUUUAAUGCAACUCACCCAAGAAUUUUAUUGAUUAUGAAAUGGAGGUUGCACAAUAGAUUUUACUUGGCAAUUUUUGGAUUUAUUGAAUCUUACAAACGGUUUAUGCCCCAUAUGAAGGAACAUUUGGAUCUUUU